UAUAGAAAAAAAUCGAAAUCUUUAAAGAAUUUCUAAUUAAAGAAGAAAUAAGAUAAGUAAUUAAUUUAGAAUUCUCCGUCUUUAGAGAAAAUCAUGGAUGAAAAUAAGAGAAAAAAGAGAAUUUGUAUAAGAGUAAUAUAUAGUUAGAAGGUUCUACUAACUAAAUAAAAUGGAAAUAAGUAUAAUGGAAAUAAAAUCGGAUUCCAGUCG
This 210-nucleotide long non-coding RNA is filed under the name Nicotiana benthamiana. Its description in RNAcentral is "long non-coding RNA (NBEN_LNC027044)". Lineage: Eukaryota; Viridiplantae; Streptophyta; Magnoliopsida; Solanales; Solanaceae. The record is from RNAcentral.